GAUGAACGCUGGCGGCGUGCCUAAUACAUGCAAGUCGAGCGAACAGACGAGGAGCUUGCUCCUCUGACUUUAUCGGCGGACGGGUGAGUACCACGUGGAUAACCUACCUAUAAGACUGGGAUAACUUCGGGAAACCGUAGCUACUACCGGAUAAUAUAUUGAACCGCAUUGUUCAAUCGUUAAAUUCGGUUUUUCUGUCACUUAUAGAUUAAUCCGCGCCGCAUUAGCUAGUUGGGAAGGUAACGGCUUACCAAGGCAACGAUGCGUAGCCGACCUGAGAGGGUGAUCGGAUAGACUGGAAGUGAGAAAGGGCAGAGACACCUAGGGGGGGAAGCAGUAGGGAAUCUUACGCGAGGGGGGAAAGGGGAACGGAGGAAAGCCGGGUGAAUGAUGAAGGACUUAGGAUCGGAAAACGAUGUUAGUAGGGAAGAAGAAAUGUGUAAGUAACUAGGAACGUGUUGACAGUACCGAAACAGAAAGCCACGGCUAACUACGUG
RNAcentral lists this ribosomal RNA (497 nucleotides) under uncultured bacterium. RNAcentral describes it as "partial 16S ribosomal RNA". It matches the Rfam family "Bacterial small subunit ribosomal RNA", at positions 28 to 507 of the family's 1533-position model. The record is from RNAcentral.